GGCUAACCGAGGAGGUGGAACUCAAUGCUAAAGGAGGCAGAGAUGAUCGCAACUAUCUAUGGGUAUUGCUGAAAAUGCGGUCCGAAAACCCGUUUCUAUCCCUGGUCCUGCCCAGUAUACUAAUCAUCUUGGCUGAUGUAGGCAGCUUCGCCCUGCCGCUGGGAGAGAGUAAGCGCAUCCCCUUCAAGGUUAAACUGGUUCUCAGCUUCAUCAUGUUCCUCAACAUCCUCAAGGACCUUCUGCCUGGAGGAGGCCAGUGCAGCCCCAUCAUCCCUUAUGACUGCCCAUACCAUAACCCCACCUCCACCAUGGGACACUCUGUUCACAACGUUGCAAACCGCUCACCCACACAACGCCACACACGCUGUCUGCCAUCUGCCCGGUACAGCUGAAACCAGGAUUAAUCCAUGAAGAGCACACUUCUCCAGUGUGCCAGUGGCCAUCGAAGG
Oncorhynchus tshawytscha (Chinook salmon) is the source of this 449-nucleotide long non-coding RNA. Lineage: Eukaryota; Metazoa; Chordata; Actinopteri; Salmoniformes; Salmonidae. The record is from Ensembl.